RNAcentral lists this non-coding RNA (45 nucleotides) under Schistosoma mattheei. The record is from RNAcentral. Lineage: Eukaryota; Metazoa; Platyhelminthes; Trematoda; Strigeidida; Schistosomatidae.
AUUCGGCUGUCGAGUCCCAGAUGUGACGAAACGCGCGUCUUGGAU